UUCUGGCUCAGGAUGAACGCUGGCGGCGUGCCUAACACAUGCAAGUCGAGCGAUUACUUCGGUAAAGAGCGGCGGACGGGUGAGUAACGCGUGGGUAACCUGCCUCAUACACAUGGAUAACAUACCGAAAGGUAUGCUAAUACAGGAUAAUAUAAGAGAUUCACAUGGAUUUCUUAUCAAAGCUCCGGCGGUAUGAGAUGGACCCGCGUCUGAUUAGCUAGUUGGUAAGGUAAUGGCUUACCAAGGCGACGAUCAGUAGCCGACCUGAGAGGGUGAUCGGCCACAUUGGAACUGAGACACGGUCCAAACUCCUACGGGAGGCAGCAGUGGGGAAUAUUGCACAAUGGGCGAAAGCCUGAUGCAGCAACGCCGCGUGAGUGAUGAAGGCCUUCGGGUCGUAAAACUCUGUCCUCAAGGAAGAUAAUGACGGUACUUGAGGAGGAAGCCCCGGCUAACUACGUGCCAGCCGCGGC
RNAcentral lists this ribosomal RNA (473 nucleotides) under uncultured bacterium. Its description in RNAcentral is "bacterial SSU rRNA". It matches the Rfam family "Bacterial small subunit ribosomal RNA", at positions 17 to 518 of the family's 1533-position model. The record is from RNAcentral.